GUGCUGCGGCGGCCCGUAUACUUAAUUUGGACUGCAUCCGAGGAGAUAUCAUGGCCCUGCGCAAGGAUGACUCGCAUAUUCGUGAUGCAUUCCAUAUUUUU
Molecule: small nuclear RNA, 101 nt
Filed under: Tupaia belangeri (northern tree shrew)
Lineage: Eukaryota; Metazoa; Chordata; Mammalia; Scandentia; Tupaiidae
Source: RNAcentral